GGUCGUAUAGUGUAAUGGUUAGCACCUCGGAUUCUGAUACCACCUAUCAUAUUCCGGUAAUCCCGGUUCGAUCCCGGGUAUGACCU
This is a transfer RNA of 86 nucleotides. It matches the Rfam family "tRNA". Rfam says of the family: Transfer RNA (tRNA) molecules are approximately 80 nucleotides in length.